CCGCCCCCCUCCCCGGGGGGUGGCCAGCGCCCGCCAGAGGACCAUCAAACUCCAGUCAGUAAACGAUGCAGUCUGAAAAACAUUUAAUAAACUAAAACUUUCAACAACGGAUCUCUUGGUUCUGGCAUCGAUGAAGAACGCAGCGAAAUGCGAUAAGUAAUGUGAAUUGCAGAAUUCAGUGAAUCAUCGAAUCUUUGAACGCACAUUGCGCCCUUUGGUAUUCCGAAGGGCAUGCCUGUUCGAGCGUCAUUACAACCCUCAAGCUCUGCUUGGUAUUGGGCACCGUCCUUUGCGGGCGCGCCUCAAAGACCUCGGCGGUGGCGUCUUGCCUCAAGCGUAGUAGAACAUACAUCUCGCUUCGGAGCGCAGGGCGUCGCCCGCCGGACGAACCUUCUGAACUUUUCUCAAGGUUGACCUCGG
RNAcentral lists this ribosomal RNA (420 nucleotides) under Botryosphaeria dothidea. RNAcentral describes it as "eukaryotic LSU rRNA". The stretch from base 96 to 249 matches the Rfam family "5.8S ribosomal RNA". Lineage: Eukaryota; Fungi; Ascomycota; Dothideomycetes; Botryosphaeriales; Botryosphaeriaceae. The record is from RNAcentral.